UCCGUAGGCGGGCGUCUAAGUCAGUGGUGAAAUCUUACAGCUCAACUGUAAAAUUGCCAUUGAUACUGGAUGUCUUGAAUUAGUGUGAAGUGGUUAGAAUGUGUAGUGUAGCGGUGAAAUGCAUAGAUAUUACACAGAAUACCAAUUGCGAAGGCAGGUCACUAACACUAUAUUGACGCUGAGGGACGAAAGCGUGGGGAGCGAACAGGAUUAGAUACCCUGGUAGUC
RNAcentral lists this ribosomal RNA (228 nucleotides) under uncultured bacterium. RNAcentral describes it as "partial 16S ribosomal RNA". It matches the Rfam family "Bacterial small subunit ribosomal RNA", at positions 568 to 795 of the family's 1533-position model. The record is from RNAcentral.